GUAGAUAGUAAGGCAGUUGCUUAAUAUUUUAUUAAGAGGAAAGUCCGGGCUCUUUGGAACAAAAAACCAGGUAAUACCUGGUAGGGGUGACCCUAGGAAAGUGCAACAGAAAAUAAACCGCCUAUUAGGUAAGGGUGAAAAGGUGCGGUAAGAGCGCACCGCUUGUUUGGUAACAAACAUGGCAUUGCAAACCCUUUUUGGAGCAAGGCCAAAUAGGAAUGACAAAUGAAUUGUUCCAGUUUAAGUCGUUCGGGUAGGCUGCUUGAGAUAAAUGGUGACAUUUAUCCUAGAUAGAUAACUGCUAAAUUUCAUUGAAAUUACAGAACCCGGCUUAAUAGCUAUCUACUUUA
RNAcentral lists this RNase P RNA (350 nucleotides) under Candidatus Pelagibacteraceae bacterium. Its description in RNAcentral is "RNase P RNA component class A". It matches the Rfam family "Bacterial RNase P class A". From Rfam's summary of the family: Ribonuclease P (RNase P) is a ubiquitous endoribonuclease, found in archaea, bacteria and eukarya as well as chloroplasts and mitochondria. Its best characterised activity is the generation of mature 5'-ends of tRNAs by cleaving the 5'-leader elements of precursor-tRNAs. The record is from RNAcentral. Lineage: Bacteria; Pseudomonadati; Pseudomonadota; Alphaproteobacteria; Candidatus Pelagibacterales; Candidatus Pelagibacteraceae.